This 928-nucleotide long non-coding RNA is filed under the name Helianthus annuus (common sunflower). RNAcentral's name for it is "hypothetical non coding rna". Lineage: Eukaryota; Viridiplantae; Streptophyta; Magnoliopsida; Asterales; Asteraceae. The record is from RNAcentral.
GAUGAAGAUGAUCUAUGAUGAUAGAGGUGAUGCCGAAUCGUAGAAUAUGGACGGAGUUGCAGGUUUUGACGAGAUAUAUGGUGAAGAACGGUGUCGUGGGCCGCCGGAGAAGAUAACCGGAGACCGGAGGUGAGGAGGGUGGUCGGGGGAGUAAUGGAGAAACAGUGGUGAUCAAGAUGACGAUGAUGGUUAUGUUACUGGAGGUGACAGUGAAGGUCGAGGAGAGUAAGGAGACGGUGGCCGGAGGUGAUGACGAAAGUGGAGGUGGGGUCGCCGGAAAUGAAGAUGAACGGAAAUGAGAGACGAUAGCGGUGGUCGGAGGAGACGGUGGUGAUUGACGAUGUUCGGGUGUACGGAGUCGAUGUUCGGUGGACGACGGAGUGGUGACGAAGGGUGUCAAAGAUCGGAGAUGGAUGACGGCGAAGACAGACGGUGAUGUGCAGGAAGAAUGAUGAACAAUGGAUAGAAUGAAUGUUGAAGAUAAAACUGUGAACUGGUGUUUCGGAUGAUUUCGGAAGAAUCUGUAGUUGAUCUCGGAUGAAAAAUUAUGGAUCACGGAUGAAAGACUAUGGAUCACGAAUGAAAGACUAUGGAUCUCGGACGAUUAUGGAUGAUGAUUAAUGUUCGAAAUGACGACCCCGGAUGAUUUCGGAUUAGAUGAAAUGAUUCCGGAUGAAAAGUUGUUUGAUUGCGGAUGAUUGCGGAUGUGAAGUGGUUUGAUUGCGGAUGAUGUCGGAUGUGAAGUGGUUGUUGUUCCGAGAUGAUCUGAUGCUGUUGUCGGCUUGUCGGUUGCUGAUGAUGAUGUUUGAACAAUGACGAUGAAUGUACUAUGAUACUGAUGAGAUGAUGACUGAUGAUGUAAUGAAAUAUGAUGACUGAACAAUGAUGUAAGUUAUAAAAUUUUGAAGAUUGGAGAAAAUUUAACACU